This 798-nucleotide long non-coding RNA is filed under the name Mus musculus (house mouse). Its description in RNAcentral is "predicted gene 16315". The record is from RNAcentral. Lineage: Eukaryota; Metazoa; Chordata; Mammalia; Rodentia; Muridae.
AGCCCACGUCUGCCGGCAGCACCCAGGCAAGUGGUGACAAUACCCCUCAAGCUUCAGGCCAAUGUCUGCUGCCACACGUCUGGGUGACCUCGGCCAACAAAGGCCCCUGCCCUACUCCAUCCUGCCCCGGCACAGCUGUGUUCUCCGUAGCUCCUUCUGCCAGACUCCUGCAAGGUUUGCCCACUGCUGAGCGAGACCCUCACACAUCCCCCGCACAGCCACACUGCUCAACUGUGAAGGGCCCAGUGGCUGAUGGUGGCUCCCAUGCUGCAUGUACAGGUGACCUGUCUGUCUCUGAAAAGAGGCCUGGGACAUGAUCCCACUUCUGGCCACCCAAGAGAGGCAUCACACACCGCAUGGGGAUCUGUGUAGGUGCAUGCACGAGUGUGGUGUGGGGCUUCCACAUCGGAGGUGCCUGUUACGCAGCAGCAGCAGCAACGGACAGAGACAUGGCGGCUGUGCGAAGACCUCAAAAAGGAAGCGAAUGGUCUGCUGCUCUCAUACUGCACAGUGCAUCCUUGUCCCGGUGACCCACACACUGGAGCAACACAGGGGACCCAAACAAGAAAGCCAUACAAUAUCCAUGACAGGUCACACCCAGGGUGGGAGAACACAGAGGGGAACGCAUGUGUUCGUUGGUGGAUGCCUUAAACACAGAAGGCCUUCUCUGAGGGAUGUGAUGUUCUGGAACUAUGUAGAUUACCUGGCUGUAUAAUCUGAAGAUCACACAGGUGUGUAUAUCUUAAACAAGUGAUCCCUACAGUCUACCAAUUAUAGCUCGAGAUCCCAAAAUCAAAA